RNAcentral lists this transfer RNA (96 nucleotides) under Dactylosporangium sucinum. RNAcentral's name for it is "tRNA-Leu". Lineage: Bacteria; Bacillati; Actinomycetota; Actinomycetes; Micromonosporales; Micromonosporaceae. The record is from RNAcentral.
GGUAAUGUCCGGACGGCUUCGUCCGGGGCCACCCCAAAUGCGGCCUUGGGCUGUGCUUUUGCGGUCAGGCGGCCGGUGCCAGGCGGGUCAUCGCGU